This 501-nucleotide ribosomal RNA is filed under the name uncultured Glomus. Its description in RNAcentral is "SSU rRNA". It matches the Rfam family "Eukaryotic small subunit ribosomal RNA", at positions 591 to 1092 of the family's 1831-position model. The record is from RNAcentral. Lineage: Eukaryota; Fungi; Glomeromycota; Glomeromycetes; Glomerales; Glomeraceae.
CCAAUAGCGUAUAUUAAAGUUGUUGCAGUUAAAAAGCUCGUAGUUGAAUUUCGGGAUCAAUUAAUUGGUCAUGCCUAUGGUACGUACUGAUUUUAUUGGUUUCUCCCUUCUGACAAACCAUGAUGUCAUUGAUUUGGUGUCGUGGAGAAUCAGGACUGUUACUUUGAAAAAAUUAGAGUGUUUAAAGCGAGCUAACGCUUGAAUACAUUAGCAUGGAAUAAUGAAAUAGGACGUUUGAUCCUAUUUUUGUUGGUUUCUAGGAUCGACGUAAUGAUUAAUAGGGAUAGUUGGGGGCAUUAGUAUUCAAUUGUCAGAGGUGAAAUUCUUGGAUUUAUUGAAGACUAACUACUGCGAAAGCAUUUGCCAAGGAUGUUUUCAUUAAUCAAGAACGAAAGUUAGGGGAUCGAAGACGAUCAGAUACCGUCGUAGUCUUAACCAUAAACUAUGCCGACUAGGGAUCGGAUGAUGUUAAUUUUUUAAUGACUCAUUCGGCGCCUUACG